This 252-nucleotide ribosomal RNA is filed under the name uncultured bacterium. RNAcentral describes it as "partial 16S ribosomal RNA". It matches the Rfam family "Bacterial small subunit ribosomal RNA", at positions 524 to 776 of the family's 1533-position model. The record is from RNAcentral.
UACGUAGGUGGCUAGCGUUGUCCGGAUUUACUGGGCGUAAAGAGCGCGCAGGCGGUCGUUCAAGUCGAGUGUGAAAGCCCCCGGCUCAACUGGGGAGGGUCACUCGAUACUGAUCGACUCGAAGGCAGGAGAGGGAAGCGGAAUUCCCGGUGUAGUGGUGAAAUGCGUAGAUAUCGGGAGGAACACCAGUGGCGAAGGCGGCUUCUGGCCUGUUCUUGACGCUGAGGCGCGAAAGCUAGGGUAGCAAACGGG